AUUGAACGCUGGCGGCAUGCCUUACACAUGCAAGUCGAACGGCAGCACGGGAGCAAUCCUGGUGGCGAGUGGCGAACGGGUGAGUAAUAUAUCGGAACGUGCCCAGUCGUGGGGGAUAACGUAGCGAAAGCUACGCUAAUACCGCAUACGAUCUAUGGAUGAAAGCGGGGGAUCGCAAGACCUCGCGCGAUUGGAGCGGGCCGAUAUCAGAUUAGGUAGUUGGUGAGGUAAAGGCUCACCAAGCCGACGAUCUGUAGCUGGUCUGAGAGGACGACCAGCCACACUGGGACUGAGACACGGCCCAGACUCCUACGGGAGGCAGCAGUGGGGAAUUUUUGGGACAAUGGGCGCAAGCCUGAUCCAGCAAUGCCGCGUGCAGGAUGAAGGCCU
This 390-nucleotide ribosomal RNA is filed under the name uncultured bacterium. RNAcentral's name for it is "bacterial SSU rRNA". It matches the Rfam family "Bacterial small subunit ribosomal RNA", at positions 30 to 417 of the family's 1533-position model. The record is from RNAcentral.